This is a long non-coding RNA of Gasterosteus aculeatus aculeatus (three-spined stickleback), 1077 nucleotides long. NCBI's taxonomy places the organism in Eukaryota, Metazoa, Chordata, Actinopteri, Perciformes, Gasterosteidae. The record is from Ensembl.
GUAAGUCAAAGCUUGUGGUAUUUUCAAAUACAGACAGCUGAGGUUAGAUUCUUGGUUAUUUGGUAGUCCAGAUAUGGAGUGGUUCUAUGCCGGGAGAGACGCAGACAUCUAACUAACGAACCUGUUUGGUCACGUCGUAACAGGGCGAUGACGUUGUACGUCAUCAACGUCAGAGACGGAAGUGGUAGCGAAGAAAAAACGUUUGUGGAUAUAAAAGAGCAAGUACAAACGUCUUGUGCUAAAAUACAAAUUGAUCUGUUACAUUAUAAAUAUUUCAAGAAAGAAAAAAUUGUUCGGCUUAAUUUAUAAUUUGGUUUAUACUUUAUACAUGAAGGGAUUUUUUGAUCAGCUCAGAAGAAUGCUGUUGUUUGUGGCAAUGAGGAGAGCGAUUGACCAACAAAGACAAAGAAUUUGGAUCAUUGACAAAGCUGAGGGAAGUUUGUUUAAGCCUUCUGAAUACACCAAAUGACAGCAAUGCUUGCUUUAUUCGAUAACCUAAUUUCCGUGUCCUGUGUGAUCUUGUUCUAGCAGUUUACAAACCAGAAGGAUUUAUUGAUAAGGCUUUUGAUCAUAAUAAAGCACAAUCUUUCUUUUCUUUGAGUAAGUUUGUGUGAUGCAGGUGGAGGACGAGCUGUGUGUUUGUAUAAUUUUAGUCAUCCAAGCUUAACUGUGGUCCUGAUGUUGAAUCUUAUGCCCUUCUGUUGCUUUUCACAGCACGUUAUGGCUGUUCCACAAACUAUUUAUUUGGAUUAUUCCCUUAUCUUAUAAUAAUCAAAUAAUUUCAUCUUGGGUUGCUGUUAAUAAAAAUACUGAAAAAGUGUAUUACUUCUGGUGACCCCCAAUCUGUAAUACAAAUCUGUUUAUUCUAGAAAGUCCCCAAAACCUUGAAACAGUUUUAUUAAAAUACAAUGGAGACUAAUGAGGAAAGAAUAUGUGUGGUAUGUUAAGUCAGUUGCUCUGUGGGAAGGAUUUAUUUCCUCCUGAACUUCGCUGUUAGCACAUGAGGGGUCACAUGUAGUGCAGCCUGAACAGGCAUGAGAUAACAUCAGUGGGAAAACCCACAAUUGUAUCUUGAAU